This 253-nucleotide ribosomal RNA is filed under the name uncultured bacterium. RNAcentral describes it as "partial 16S ribosomal RNA". It matches the Rfam family "Bacterial small subunit ribosomal RNA", at positions 524 to 776 of the family's 1533-position model. The record is from RNAcentral.
UACGGGGGGGUCAAGCGUUGUUCGGAAUUACUGGGCGUAAAGGGCUCGUAGGCGGCCAACUAAGUCGGACGUGAAAUCCCCAGGCUCAACCUGGGAACUGCGUCCGAUACUGGAUGGCUUGAAUUCGGGAGAGGGAUGCAGAAUUCCAGGUGUAGCGGUGAAAUGCGUAGAUAUCUGGAGGAAUACCGGUGGCGAAGGCGGCAUCCUGGACCGACAUUGACGCUGAGGAGCGAAAGCUAGGGGAGCAAACGGG